RNAcentral lists this unclassified non-coding RNA (329 nucleotides) under Hevea brasiliensis (rubber tree). Lineage: Eukaryota; Viridiplantae; Streptophyta; Magnoliopsida; Malpighiales; Euphorbiaceae. The record is from RNAcentral.
GCCAGCUUUGAUGUCUACGCUAAACCUUUCCGUCUCUGAUAUUUGAUGCAAACUGCACUCUGUAAUCCAAUAUAUAUAUUUGAUAUUAAGGACUUGUCAUAGUGGAGAUUUGUCACUGUUGGCUAACAAUUCUUAUAUAUAUAUACUAGUUAUUCUAGUUGAUUUGAGCGGAAGGAGAAGGGAUGUCCUCAAUGAGAACAUAUGCAUUGCUUCUUUUAUGUUCUUUUGCAUUCUCCUCGUUUUCAUAAUUGAGACUUUCGAUGGUAGCUGAGCUGGGGUAGACCCCGAGCACUCUUGUUUAGCCUCUGAGCUCGACUGAAGUUUUUUGU